UACGAGGGGUGCAAGCGUUGUUCGGAAUUAUUGGGCGUAAAGGGCGCGUAGGCGGUGCGGUAAGUCACCUGUGAAACCUCUAGGCUCAACCUAGAGCCUGCAGGCGAAACUGCCGUGCUUGAGGGUGGGAGAGGUGAGUGGAAUUCCAGGUGUAGCGGUGAAAUGCGCAGAUAUCGGGAAGAACACCCGUGGCGAAGGCGGUUCUCUGGGACGGUACUGACGCUGAGACGCGAAAGCGUGGGGAGCGAACAGG
Molecule: ribosomal RNA, 253 nt
Filed under: uncultured bacterium
Lineage: Bacteria
Description: partial 16S ribosomal RNA
Rfam family: Bacterial small subunit ribosomal RNA
Source: RNAcentral